RNAcentral lists this ribosomal RNA (497 nucleotides) under uncultured bacterium. RNAcentral's name for it is "partial 16S ribosomal RNA". It matches the Rfam family "Bacterial small subunit ribosomal RNA", at positions 28 to 507 of the family's 1533-position model. The record is from RNAcentral.
GAUGAACGCUGGCGGCGUGCCUAAUACAUGCAAGUCGAGCGAACGGACGAGAAGCUUGCUUCUCUGAUGUUAGCGGCGGACGGGUGAGUAACACGUGGAUAACCUACCUAUAAGACUGGGAUAACUUCGGGAAACCGGAGCUAAUACCGGAUAAUAUUUUGAACCGCAUGGUUCAAAAGUGAAAGACGGUCUUGCUGUCACUUAUAGAUGGAUCCGCGCUGCAUUAGCUAGUUGGUAAGGUAACGGCUUACCAAGGCAACGAUGCAUAGCCGACCUGAGAGGGUGAUCGGCCACACUGGAACUGAGACACGGUCCAGACUCCUACGGGAGGCAGCAGUAGGGAAUCUUCCGCAAUGGGCGAAAGCCUGACGGAGCAACGCCGCGUGAGUGAUGAAGGUCUUCGGUUCGUAAAACUCUAUUAUUAGGGAAGAACAUAUGUGUAAGUAACUGUGCACAUCUUGACGGUACCUAAUCAGAAAGCCACGGCUAACUACGUG